CCUANGGGGGGCAGCAGUAGGGAAUAUUGCUUAAUCUGCGAAAGCGGGAAGCAGCAACGCCGCGUGUGCGAUGACGGCCUUCGGGUUGUAAAGCACUUUUGGAAGGGAUGAGGAAGGACAGUACCUUUCGAAUAAGCCUCGGCUAACUACGUGCCAGCAGCCGCGGUAACACGUAGGAGGCGAGCGUUAUCCGGAUUUACUGGGCGUAAAGCGCGUGCAGGCGGUACGGUAAGUUGGAUGUGAAAGCUCCUGGCUCAACUGGGAGAGGUCGUUCAAAACUACCGAACUUGAGUAUGGGAGGGGAGGUGGAAUUCCGGGUGUAGUGGUGAAAUGCGUAGAUAGCCGGAGGAACACCAGUGGCGAAAGCGGCCUCCUGGCCCAUUACUGACGCUCAGACGCGAAAGCUAGGGGAGUGAACGGGAUUAGAUACCCCGNUAGUC
Molecule: ribosomal RNA, 440 nt
Filed under: uncultured bacterium
Lineage: Bacteria
Description: bacterial SSU rRNA
Rfam family: Bacterial small subunit ribosomal RNA
Source: RNAcentral